CGAUGACCCACAACCCCAAGCCUACCUACGGGUAAACCCGUUGAAGAAUCGGGGCGAAUGUUUCCCUUAAAUGCCACCACCGAAUGCCAACCUGAAUCCAAUAUGUCUUUCAUUGUGGACAUCAUCACCUCCUACAGUCCAUCAGGUCUCGAUUGCUAACUAGAAUGAGAGCGAGCUUCCACUACGACCCCUGCAAAGUGUUUUUCUUUCGUCUCCUCUUCUCCCCUCUCCCCAACAAGCACUGUACUUCGUGCAUGCCCCUCUCGGUUCGAUCUCCUUUUCUCUUCAACAUC
RNAcentral lists this long non-coding RNA (293 nucleotides) under Gossypium barbadense (sea-island cotton). RNAcentral describes it as "long non-coding RNA (GBAR_LNC007410)". The record is from RNAcentral. Lineage: Eukaryota; Viridiplantae; Streptophyta; Magnoliopsida; Malvales; Malvaceae.